This 435-nucleotide ribosomal RNA is filed under the name uncultured bacterium. Its description in RNAcentral is "partial 16S ribosomal RNA". It matches the Rfam family "Bacterial small subunit ribosomal RNA", at positions 29 to 507 of the family's 1533-position model. The record is from RNAcentral.
AGCGAACGCUGGCGGCAGGCUUAACACAUGCAAGUCGAGCGGGCACUUUCGGGUGUCAGCGGCGGACGGGUGAGUAACGCGUGGGAACGUGCCCUCUGGUUCGGAAUAACUCAGGGAAACUUGAGCUAAUACCGGAUACGCCCUUUUGGGGAAAGGCUUGCUGCCGGAGGAUCGGCCCGCGUCUGAUUAGCUAGUUGGUGAGGUAACGGCUCACCAAGGCGACGAUCAGUAGCUGGUCUGAGAGGAUGAUCAGCCACACUGGGACUGAGACACGGCCCAGACUCCCACGGGAGGCAGCAGUGGGGAAUAUUUGAAAAAUGGCGGAAGGCUGAUCCAGCUAUGGCGCGUGAGGGAUGAAGGCCUUAGGGUUGUAAAGCUCUUUUAUCCGGGACGAUAAUGACGGUACCGGAGGAAUAAGCCCCGGCUAACUUCGUG